Molecule: ribosomal RNA, 650 nt
Filed under: Pseudomonas sp. AD100
Lineage: Bacteria; Pseudomonadati; Pseudomonadota; Gammaproteobacteria; Pseudomonadales; Pseudomonadaceae
Description: bacterial SSU rRNA
Rfam family: Bacterial small subunit ribosomal RNA
Source: RNAcentral
CCUGGUAGUCCACGCCGUAAACGAUGUCAACUAGCCGUUGGGAGCCUUGAGCUCUUAGUGGCGCAGCUAACGCAUUAAGUUGACCGCCUGGGGAGUACGGCCGCAAGGUUAAAACUCAAAUGAAUUGACGGGGGCCCGCACAAGCGGUGGAGCAUGUGGUUUAAUUUGAAGCAACGCGAAGAACCUUCCCAGGCCUUGACAUCCAAUGAACUUUCCAGAGAUGGAUUGGUGCCUUCGGGAGCAUUGAGACAGGUGCUGCAUGGCUGUUGUCAGCUCGUGUCGUGAGAUGUUGGGUUAAGUCCCGUAACGAGCGCAACCCUUGUCCUUAGUUACCAGCACGUAAUGGUGGGCACUCUAAGGAGACUGCCGGUGACAAACCGGAGGAAGGUGGGGAUGACGUCAAGUCAUCAUGGCCCUUACGGCCUGGGCUACACACGUGCUACAAUGGUCGGUACAAAGGGUUGCCAAGCCGCGAGGUGGAGCUAAUCCCAUAAAACCGAUCGUAGUCCGGAUCGCAGUCUGCAACUCGACUGCGUGAAGUCGGAAUCGCUAGUAAUCGUGAAUCAGAAUGUCACGGUGAAUACGUUCCCGGGCCUUGUACACACCGCCCGUCACACCAUGGGAGUGGGUUGCACCAGAAGUAGCUAGUC